RNAcentral lists this ribosomal RNA (482 nucleotides) under uncultured bacterium. RNAcentral describes it as "partial 16S ribosomal RNA". It matches the Rfam family "Bacterial small subunit ribosomal RNA", at positions 28 to 523 of the family's 1533-position model. The record is from RNAcentral.
GACGAACGCUGGCGGCGUGCUUAACACAUGCAAGUCGAACGAUGAAACCUAGCUUGCUAGGUCGAUUGGUGGCGAACGGGUGAGUAACACGUGACUAACCUGCCCCUUUCUCUGGGAUAACGCUCCGAAAGGAGUGCUAAUACCGGAUACUCACACCGAGGCACAUGCCUUGGUGUGGAAAGUUUUUCGGAAAGGGAUGGAGUCGCGGCCUAUCAGCUUGUUGGUGAGGUAACGGCUCACCAAGGCGACGACGGGUAGCCGGCCUGAGAGGGGGACCGGCCACACUGGGACUGAGACACGGCCCAGACUCCUACGGGAGGCAGCAGUGGGGAAUAUUGCACAAUGGGCGCAAGCCUGAUGCAGCGACGCCGCGUGAGGGAUGAAGGUCUUCGGAUUGUAAACCUCUUUCAGUAGGGACGAAGCGAAAGUGACGGUACCUAAAGAAGAAGCACCGGCUAACUACGUGCCAGCCGCCGCAGUAA